CAGUAGCCACGGUAAUACGUAGGUGGCAAGCGUUGUCCGGAAUUAUUGGGCGUAAAGGGCUCGCAGGCGGUUUCUUAAGUCUGAUGUGGAAGCCCCCGGCUCAACCGGGGAGGGUCAUUGGAAACUGGGAAACUUGAGUGCAGAAGAGGAGAGUGGAAUUCCGCGUGUAGCGGUGAAAUGCGUAGAGAUGUGGAGGAACACCAGUGGCGAAGGCGACUCUCUGGUCUGUAACUGACGCUGAGGAGCGAAAGCGUGGGGAGCGAACAGGAUUAGAUACCCGCGUAGUCCCUGUCUCUUAUAC
Molecule: ribosomal RNA, 301 nt
Filed under: uncultured bacterium
Lineage: Bacteria
Description: partial 16S ribosomal RNA
Rfam family: Bacterial small subunit ribosomal RNA
Source: RNAcentral